GACGAACCGUGCGAGCGUUGUUCGGAAUCACUGGGUUUAAAGGGCGCGUAGGCGGGCUGUCAAGUCGGUGGUGAAAUCGUUCCGCUCAACGGGACAAUGGCCUUCGAUACUGGCGGCCUGGAGGGAGGUAGGGGCAUGCGGAACUUCCGGUGGAGCGGUGAAAUGCGUAGAUAUCGGAAGGAACACCGAUGGCGAAAGCAGCGUGCUGGACCUUUUCUGACGCUGAGGCGCGAAAGCCAGGGGAGCAAACGGG
This 253-nucleotide ribosomal RNA is filed under the name uncultured bacterium. RNAcentral describes it as "partial 16S ribosomal RNA". It matches the Rfam family "Bacterial small subunit ribosomal RNA", at positions 524 to 776 of the family's 1533-position model. The record is from RNAcentral.